UACGUAGGGUGCGAGCGUUGUCCGGAAUUAUUGGGCGUAAAGAGCUCGUAGGCGGUGUGUCGCGUCGGCCGUGAAAACCUGGGGCUCAACUCUGGGCGUGCGGUCGAUACGGGCAUCACUUGAGUUCGGCAGGGGAGACUGGAAUUCCUGGUGUAGCGGUGAAAUGCGCAGAUAUCAGGAGGAACACCGAUGGCGAAGGCAGGUCUCUGGGCUGUAACUGACGCUGAGGAGCGAAAGCAUGGGGAGCGAACAGG
This 254-nucleotide ribosomal RNA is filed under the name uncultured bacterium. Its description in RNAcentral is "partial 16S ribosomal RNA". It matches the Rfam family "Bacterial small subunit ribosomal RNA", at positions 524 to 776 of the family's 1533-position model. The record is from RNAcentral.